RNAcentral lists this transfer RNA (59 nucleotides) under Pirata subpiraticus. RNAcentral's name for it is "tRNA-Tyr". RNAcentral also lists the same sequence under 1 other name. The record is from RNAcentral. Lineage: Eukaryota; Metazoa; Arthropoda; Arachnida; Araneae; Lycosidae.
AAUUAAGAAAUCAUUAGAUGAUGAACUGUAAAUUCAUAUUAGAUUUACACCUUUAACUU